Peromyscus maniculatus bairdii (prairie deer mouse) is the source of this 372-nucleotide non-coding RNA. The record is from the annotation of a RefSeq genome assembly. NCBI's taxonomy places the organism in Eukaryota, Metazoa, Chordata, Mammalia, Rodentia, Cricetidae.
AUGAGGGCCUCCACUCAGCUUCCUGGGUUGCUGCUGUUCCUGAUUACAGGUGCCAGAUGUGACAUCCAGAUGACCCAGUCUCCAGCCUCCCUGUCGGCAUCUCUGGGAGAAAGUGUCACCAUCACAUGCCAGGCAACUCAGGACCUUUAUGGGAAUUUAGCAUGGUAUCAGCAGAAACCAAGCAGACCUCAUAAGUUCCUGAUCUAUAAAGCAAACACCUUAGUAGAUGGGGUCUCAUCGAGAUUUAGCGGCAGUGGAUCUGGUACACAAUAUUCUCUCAAGAUCAGCAGUCUGCAGUCUGAAGAUGCUGCAACUUAUUACUGUCAAAAUCAUUAUACUACCCCUCUCACGGUGAUUCAAGCCAUGACAUAA